This 22-nucleotide small nuclear RNA is filed under the name Arabidopsis thaliana (thale cress). Its description in RNAcentral is "snRNA_19049". Lineage: Eukaryota; Viridiplantae; Streptophyta; Magnoliopsida; Brassicales; Brassicaceae. The record is from RNAcentral.
AUGAUAAUACUUACGCAUCUCA